Molecule: long non-coding RNA, 1173 nt
Organism: Notolabrus celidotus (New Zealand spotty)
Lineage: Eukaryota; Metazoa; Chordata; Actinopteri; Labriformes; Labridae
Exons: 2
Source: RefSeq, a predicted model, not a curated record
GAGCCUUUAUAGCUGGGUGAAUCCAAGAUGGCUCUCUCUUUGUCCCUCCUGGAAGGCUGUCGCUGUGUGGACCUCCCUUCUUUGUUAUGCUCUUCAAAGAGCUGGGUGUAACAAGUGGGGGCUCAUCCAAUUUUGAACCUUAAAUAGUAAACUAGUUUGCUUGUGUUCAUGUAGUCUAGCACAGUGAUGGUUUUCCUUAUGGUUAAGUUAAGCAAGUAAGGUUUGGGACUGCUUAGUUCUCUAGUGUCUUUAGCUGCAAAGUAGCUGUGCAUUACUAAUAACAAGAGACCUGUUAAGAUUUUGCGAUACACAGGGGCAACUGUGAGUUUGAUUGGGGACCAGUACUGCUACUGGGGUAAAAUAUCCUGUACUUGGUGAUGGGUUGGUUCCUCUGUGGGUUCCUUCACAUUGUUUUCUUCUCUGAUCUGGUUUGUGGAGAGGUGGAAAUGGGUGUCCGUCCUCGGUUGCCGAUUCAAGGAGUAGACAAUAUUCUAGGGAUUGACUUGUCUGGGGCUAGGGUUUAGGAAGAUGGUCCACCACUACUUUGUGUUGGUUCACCCUUCCAGGAUUCUUGGGAACUGGAUGAGUGUGCUAAACGGUACCCCAAAGUGUCUUCUUCCUGUGCUGUGAUGCAUUGAUGUAUGGUAAUUGUUCUCUAUCCUGUUGCUGUCUAGGGAAGAGGGUGUCAUGGAGCAAGCUGGGGAUCCCGACCUGAAAUCCCUGUUUGAGUCGGAUUGCCUGGAAACUCCUUUUUUGGAUAAGCCCUUCUGGGUACAGGUGGAUCCGAGUGACGUUGGAGCUGGGGGUGUGGAACAUCCGGUCUUUUUGCUCACAUAAGUUUAACCAUCAGAGGUUCUGCUUUGGAUCCUCCCUGACUGCCUGCCCCUCCCAUCUCGUUUAGGGAUUGGCUUCACCUGCUUGGAGCCUUUAUAGCUGGGUGAAUCCAAGAUGGCUCUCUCUUUCUCCCUCCUGGAAGGCUGGUGUCUGCCAGGCACCCACUUUGGUUUUGUUUGGUGAUUAUGUUGAGUUCAGCCUUUAGUUACCUUUUACACAUAGCUUUGGUUAGCACACAUAGUCUCACAGCACCCAACACCCUCACCACACUGAUAGCUUACUUUAUUAUUAGUUUUCCUUUGAGUGCUUUCAAUAAAUGAUUUACUCAUUUAAAAGCUG